Molecule: ribosomal RNA, 492 nt
Filed under: uncultured bacterium
Lineage: Bacteria
Description: partial 16S ribosomal RNA
Rfam family: Bacterial small subunit ribosomal RNA
Source: RNAcentral
AGUGAACGCUGGCGGUAGGCCUAACACAUGCAAGUCGAACGGCAGCACAGUAAGAGCUUGCUCUUACGGGUGGCGAGUGGCGGACGGGUGAGGAAUACAUCGGACUCUACUUUUUCGUGGGGGAUAACGUAGGGAAACUUACGCUAAUACCGCAUACGACCUACGGUUGAAAGCAGGGGAUCUUCGGACCUUGCGCGAUUGAAUGAGCCGAUGUCGGAUUAGCUAGUGGGCGGGGUAAAGGCCCACCAAGGGGACGAUUCGUAGCUGGUCGGAGAGGAUGGUCGGCGACAUUGGAGCGUGGACAGGCACAAGGCUCCUACGGGAGGCAGCAGUGUGGAAUGUGGGGCAACGGGGGGAAGCAUUACACAGCCGGCCCGAGUGGGAGAAGACGGCGCUCGGGGCGUGAAGACGUCUUGUGGGGAAAGAACAGCUGCAGGUUAAGACCACGCGGGUGUGACGGUAACCAAAGAAUAAGCACCGGCUAACUACGUG